GAUGAACGCUGGCGGCGUGCCUAAUACAUGCAAGUCGAGCGAACGGACGAGAAGCUUGCUUCUCUGAUGUUAGCGGCGGACGGGUGAGUAACACGUGGAUAACCUACCUAUAAUACUGGGAUAACUUCGGGAAACCGGAGCUAAUACCGGAUAAUAUUUUGAACCGCAUUGUUCAAAAGUGAAAGACGGUCUUGCUGUCACUUAUAGAUGGAUCCGCGCUGCAUUAGCUAGUUGUUAAGGUAACGGCUUACCAAGGCAACGAUGCAUAGCCGACCUGAGAGGGUGAUCGGCCACACUGGAACUGAGACACGGUCCAGACUCCUACGGGAGGCAGCAGUAGGGAAUCUUACGCAAUGGGCGAAAGCCUGACGGAGCAACGCCGCGUGAGUGAUGAAGGUCUUCGGAUCGUAAAACUCUGUUAUUAGGGAAGAACAUAUGUGUAAGUAACUGUGCACAUCUUGACGGUACCUAAUCAGAAAGCCACGGCUAACUACGUG
RNAcentral lists this ribosomal RNA (497 nucleotides) under uncultured bacterium. RNAcentral's name for it is "partial 16S ribosomal RNA". It matches the Rfam family "Bacterial small subunit ribosomal RNA", at positions 28 to 507 of the family's 1533-position model. The record is from RNAcentral.